RNAcentral lists this non-coding RNA (280 nucleotides) under Lacticaseibacillus paracasei. The record is from RNAcentral. Lineage: Bacteria; Bacillati; Bacillota; Bacilli; Lactobacillales; Lactobacillaceae.
AUGAAACCGAUGAUGUGGAGAUCAAGAUCAUUGUGCGCGCAAAGAGAGUUGCCGGUGCUGAGAGUGCAAUCGAACGCAGAUGAUUAAAUGGACCACGGAGGGUUCUCCCGAAAGACUUCAAGUACGGAGAAACGUAAAGGCAUACGUCAGUUGUCGGAGAGAUGUUGGUCUCUCGCUAAGCGUGAUUAAAUGGGGAUUUUUAGACAAAUCAGAUGCUAUUAUUUGUUGAAGUCUCGAAUUAAUCGAACUAAGGUGGCACCGCGGAAAAUCCGUCCUUAAC